Molecule: long non-coding RNA, 449 nt
Organism: Mirounga angustirostris (Northern elephant seal)
Lineage: Eukaryota; Metazoa; Chordata; Mammalia; Carnivora; Phocidae
Exons: 3
Source: RefSeq, a predicted model, not a curated record
CUAGAUUCACAUCUGACUUGAAAAGGCCUUCUCCACUCGGAUUAUAAAAACAUUUUCCUAUGGACUUAAGUGUUUGACCCAUUUUGGAAUUCAUUUUGAUGUAGCAUGUGAGCUGUUGGACUAUGAUGUGGAAUUGUCAACAACCAUCUUGCUGCCACCUGGAGAAAGUCUGAGAAGGAAGCAGAACAGCAGAGGCAAGAGAGCCAGAGACAUAAAGAGAGAAGGAGAAUGCUGACAGAAUUGGAACUCUGGAUUUAGCUGGGCUCGGCCCCCCACCUGGCCUUCACAGUUAAGAGAAACACAACGAGAGAGGGAACACAAGCAGGGGGAGUGGGAGAGGGAGAAGCAGGCCUCCCGCGGAGCAGGGAGCCCGAUGUGGGGCUCGAUCCCAGGACCCCGAGACCACGAACCGAGCCGAAGGCAGACGCUUAACGACUGAGCCACCCAGG